RNAcentral lists this transfer RNA (75 nucleotides) under Hyphomonadaceae bacterium. Its description in RNAcentral is "tRNA-Glu". It matches the Rfam family "tRNA". From Rfam's summary of the family: Transfer RNA (tRNA) molecules are approximately 80 nucleotides in length. The record is from RNAcentral. Lineage: Bacteria; Pseudomonadati; Pseudomonadota; Alphaproteobacteria; Hyphomonadales; Hyphomonadaceae.
GGGCCCUUCGUCUAUCGGUUAGGACGUCAGGUUCUCAACCUGAAAAGAGGGGUUCGACUCCCCUAGGGCCUGCCA